GGGGGCGACAUGGUUUCGACGCGGAUAUCAAAACUUGAGGUGCAUGCCGAGAGGGUAGUGACUCUCGUUAAUCAAUCGCUGUAACUUUUAUAGUUGCCAACGACGAAAACUACGCACUAGCGGCUUAAAAACCCCGCUAACGUUCACAAUUCGUGCCUGCUAGGAGAAGUGAACGGCAAAGCAGCAGGACAGCGCCUAGUUCUCUCCCGGGGCCGAAGCGUUAAAAAUAAUCGGGAUCGCAGAAAGUGCCCUGACCGUCGGGCCACUGGAUGCUAAAUCAGUAGACGGACUCUAAGCAUGUAGAGCCAAUAGCGGCGAAUCAGCGGACGCGGGUUCAACUCCCGCCGCCUCCACCA
Molecule: transfer-messenger RNA, 356 nt
Filed under: Pseudomonadales
Lineage: Bacteria; Pseudomonadati; Pseudomonadota; Gammaproteobacteria
Also listed under: 1 other name
Description: UBA4421 sp902631405 Standard tmRNA
Rfam family: transfer-messenger RNA
About the family: Bacterial tmRNA, also known as 10Sa RNA or SsrA, is named for its dual tRNA and mRNA-like properties.
Source: RNAcentral